UUCUAACACCCUGUUAAAAAAAACCAAAAAAGACUCUGAAACCCUCUCUCCAAUCCUCUGGCCUGAGUUCUAACAACGGCCGAUGGCCACCGCUCCAUGCACCCACGCGCCGCAGUGCACGGCGGUCGGAAGGCCAAAAAUCCUUCCUCUUGUAGUCGAAACACAGGUAAUCACAAGAUCUCUGGCGGAGAUGAGGGGGACGUCCUUCGUUUGGUGCUUGCGGCGCGAGGAGAGGGCUAGGGUUUCUAACCCUAGCCGAAUGCUUCUAAAUUUUGGGCCUCUGAGAGUUUGGGUUAGUAGUGUUUAGAUAUUGGGCUUCGGAUGUGAAUGAGUACACGGGUAGCAACCGGAUUAAAUGUUUGGGCUCUGUUGUAUUUUGGUGCUUUGUAAAUGGACUCUUAAUAAAUUAAUAUUUAUUUGCCCA
Molecule: long non-coding RNA, 424 nt
Organism: Gossypium arboreum
Lineage: Eukaryota; Viridiplantae; Streptophyta; Magnoliopsida; Malvales; Malvaceae
Exons: 2
Source: RefSeq, a predicted model, not a curated record